AUUGAACGCUGGCGGCAGGCUUAACACAUGCAAGUCGAGCGGAGAUGAGGUGCUUGCACCUUAUCUUAGCGGCGGACGGGUGAGUAAUGCUUAGGAAUCUGCCUAUUAGUGGGGGACAACAUUCCGAAAGGAAUGCUAAUACCGCAUACGUCCUACGGGAGAAAGCGGGGGAUCUUCGGACCUUGCGCUAAUAGAUGAGCCUAAGUCGGAUUAGCUAGUUGGUGGGGUAAAGGCCUACCAAGGCGACGAUCUGUAGCGGGUCUGAGAGGAUGAUCAGCGACACUGGGAAUGAGACACGGCCCAGACUCCUACGGGAGGCAGCAGUGGGGAAUAUUGGACAAUGGGGGGAACGCUGAUCCAGCCAUGCCGCGUGUGUGAAGAAGGCCUUAUGGUUGUAAAGCACUUUAAGCGAGGAGGAGGCUACUGAGACUAAUACUCUUGGAUAGUGGACGUUACUCGCAGAAUAAGCACCGGCUAACUCUGUGCCAGCCGCCGCCGUAA
Molecule: ribosomal RNA, 501 nt
Filed under: uncultured bacterium
Lineage: Bacteria
Description: partial 16S ribosomal RNA
Rfam family: Bacterial small subunit ribosomal RNA
Source: RNAcentral